This 241-nucleotide ribosomal RNA is filed under the name uncultured bacterium. Its description in RNAcentral is "partial 16S ribosomal RNA". It matches the Rfam family "Bacterial small subunit ribosomal RNA", at positions 114 to 354 of the family's 1533-position model. The record is from RNAcentral.
CGCGUGAGUAACCUGCCUUGGAGUGGGGAAUAACACAUCGAAAGAUGUGCUAAUACCGCAUAAUGCAGUUGGGCCGCAUGGCUCUGACUGCCAAAGAUUUAUCGCUCUGAGAUGGACUCGCGUCUGAUUAGCUGGUUGGCGGGGUAACGGCCCACCAAGGCGACGAUCAGUAGCCGGACUGAGAGGUUGACCGGCCACAUUGGGACUGAGACACGGCCCAAACUCCUACGGGAGGCAGCAG